This 72-nucleotide transfer RNA is filed under the name Phrynosoma platyrhinos (Desert horned lizard). Its description in RNAcentral is "tRNA-OTHER". Lineage: Eukaryota; Metazoa; Chordata; Lepidosauria; Squamata; Phrynosomatidae. The record is from RNAcentral.
GACAGUGAGGUAUAGUGGUUUGAGUGUUGGACUACAACUCUGGAGACCAGGGUUCGAUUCACAGCUUGGCCA